Sphaerodactylus townsendi is the source of this 269-nucleotide long non-coding RNA. RefSeq lists it as uncharacterized. The record is from RefSeq and is a predicted model, not a curated record. The transcript has 3 exons. Lineage: Eukaryota; Metazoa; Chordata; Lepidosauria; Squamata; Sphaerodactylidae.
AUGAACCGUAACUUUCAUACAGACCAUCAUCCGAUCUCAUGCAUCCCUUACUUAUGCACGUUAUCUUGGGCGUUAGCGCUCUUAAACGCAGGGAUAGGACUUUUUUCUCGAAGUCAUUGGUUCCCAACCUGGGUAUGCUGCAUACCCCCAGAUGUACACACCACAGCAUUUGGGGAGCAUCUAUAAGAAGCAUGCCUCUCCUGCUGUGUUCCACUAUGACAGCUGUGUUCAUCUGAGAAAUAUGAUCUGAAGUGCCAGUCUGCAAACAG